Molecule: non-coding RNA, 176 nt
Filed under: uncultured Cycloclasticus sp.
Lineage: Bacteria; Pseudomonadati; Pseudomonadota; Gammaproteobacteria; Thiotrichales; Piscirickettsiaceae
Description: 6S / SsrS RNA
Rfam family: 6S / SsrS RNA
About the family: E. coli 6S RNA was the first non coding RNA to be sequenced, but its function was unknown until recently. It consists of 184 nucleotides that fold into an extended hairpin structure with a large single-stranded internal bulge. The 6S RNA specifically associates with RNA polymerase holoenzyme containing the sigma70 specificity factor.
Source: RNAcentral
UUCCCUGCGGUGUUCGAAAUAAGGUGAAAUGCCCUUGGACCUAAUUACCUAUUCGGGAAGACAGAUCACUUUGCUGGUGUGCAUGCUCUUACAAUAGAGAAGCCUAAUGCAAAUGUCCGACCCCCACUUGAACUUUACGGUUCAAGGUAGAAACCUGAAUGCGGCGCUAGCGGGGA